GCACCUCAUAAAACGGGUGCCGGGAUUAGCACCCCGAAGUCAAUCACGGCGCAUAACCGCGCUCAGGCGGUUUUUUU
Molecule: small RNA, 77 nt
Filed under: Escherichia coli
Lineage: Bacteria; Pseudomonadati; Pseudomonadota; Gammaproteobacteria; Enterobacterales; Enterobacteriaceae
Description: isrK
Rfam family: isrK Hfq binding RNA
Source: RNAcentral